Hydra vulgaris (swiftwater hydra) is the source of this 159-nucleotide non-coding RNA. NCBI's taxonomy places the organism in Eukaryota, Metazoa, Cnidaria, Hydrozoa, Anthoathecata, Hydridae. The record is from RefSeq and is a predicted model, not a curated record.
CAAUAGUAUAUAUCAGUGAAUUGAUAUUAGUUAAUAGUUUUUGGAAACAGUACCAUAUGAACUUUCUUACUUCGGUUGGAGGAGAUGAGAAACAACUUACAGCGGCAAUCUUAAUACAGCUAAUGGCCAAAGAAGUAUGUUUUUCAUACUCAGUGUAUG